UACGUAGGGUGCAGGCGUUAAUCGGAAUUACUGGGCGUAAAGCGUGCGCAGGCGGUUUGCUAAGACAGGUGUGAAAUCCCCGGGCUUAACCUGGGAACUGCGCUUGUUACUGGCAGGCUUGAGUGUGGCAGAGGGGGGUGGAAUUCCACGUGUAGCAGUGAAAUGCGUAGAUAUAGGAAGGAAUACCAGUGGCGAAGGCGGCCUCCUGGAUCGAUACUGACGCUGAGGCGCGAAAGCGUGGGGAGCAAACAGG
RNAcentral lists this ribosomal RNA (253 nucleotides) under uncultured bacterium. Its description in RNAcentral is "partial 16S ribosomal RNA". It matches the Rfam family "Bacterial small subunit ribosomal RNA", at positions 524 to 776 of the family's 1533-position model. The record is from RNAcentral.